AGGAGUGUAGCUCAAUUGGCAGAGCACCGGUCUCCAAAACCGGCGGUUGGGGGUUCGAGUCCCUCCACUCCUG
RNAcentral lists this transfer RNA (73 nucleotides) under Limimonas halophila. Its description in RNAcentral is "Rhodospirillaceae bacterium Ia16 tRNA". It matches the Rfam family "tRNA". Rfam says of the family: Transfer RNA (tRNA) molecules are approximately 80 nucleotides in length. Their secondary structure includes four short double-helical elements and three loops (D, anti-codon, and T loops). The record is from Rfam by way of RNAcentral. Lineage: Bacteria; Pseudomonadati; Pseudomonadota; Alphaproteobacteria; Rhodospirillales; Rhodovibrionaceae.